GACGAACGCUGGCGGCGUGCUUAACACAUGCAAGUCGAACGGAAAGGCCCUGCUUUUGUGGGGUGCUCGAGUGGCGAACGGGUGAGUAACACGUGAGUAACCUGCCCUUGACUUUGGGAUAACUUCAGGAAACUGGGGCUAAUACCGGAUAGGAGCUCCUGCUGCAUGGUGGGGGUUGGAAAGUGUCGGCGGUUGGGGAUGGACUCGCGGCUUAUCAGCUUGUUGGUGGGGUAGUGGCUUACCAAGGCUUUGACGGGUAGCCGGCCUGAGAGGGUGACCGGCCACAUUGGGAUUGAGAUACGGACCAGACUCCUACGGGAGGCAGCAGUGGGGAAUAUUGCACAAUGGGCGGAAGCCUGAUGCAGCAACGCCGCGUGCGGAAUGACGGCCUUCGGGUUGUAAACCGCUUUCGCCUGUGACGAAGCGUGCGUGACGGUAAUGGGUAAAGAAGCACCGGCUAACUACGUG
Molecule: ribosomal RNA, 468 nt
Filed under: uncultured bacterium
Lineage: Bacteria
Description: partial 16S ribosomal RNA
Rfam family: Bacterial small subunit ribosomal RNA
Source: RNAcentral